GUCGAGCGGACAGAAGGGAGCUUGCUCCCGGAUGUUAGCGGCGGACGGGUGAGUAACACGUGGGUAACCUGCCUGUAAGACUGGGAUAACUCCGGGAAACCGGAGCUAAUACCGGAUAGUUCCUUGAACCGCAUGGUUCAAGGAUGAAAGACGGUUUCGGCUGUCACUUACAGAUGGACCCGCGGCGCAUUAGCUAGUUGGUGGGGUAAUGGCUCACCAAGGCGACGAUGCGUAGCCGACCUGAGAGGGUGAUCGGCCACACUGGGACUGAGACACGGCCCAGACUCCUACGGGAGGCAGCAGUAGGGAAUCUUCCGCAAUGGACGAAAGUCUGACGGAGCAACGCCGCGUGAGUGAUGAAGGUUUUCGGAUCGUAAAGCUCUGUUGUUAGGGAAGAACAAGUGCGAGAGUAACUGCUCGCACCUUGACGGUACCUAACCAGAAAGCCACGGCUAACUACGUGCCAGCAGCCGCGGUAAUACGUAGGUGGCAAGCGUUGUCCGGAAUUAUUGGGCGUAAAGGGCUCGCAGGCGGUUUCUUAAGUCUGAUGUGAAAGCCCCCGGCUCAACCGGGGAGGGUCAUUGGAAACUGGGAAACUUGAGUGCAGAAGAGGAGAGUGGAAUUCCACGUGUAGCGGUGAAAUGCGUAGAGAUGUGGAGGAACACCAGUGGCGAAGGCGACUCUCUGGUCUGUAACUGACGCUGAGGAGCGAAAGCGUGGGGAGCGAACAGGAUUAGAUACCCUGGUAGUCCACGCCGUAAACGAUGAGUGCUAAGUGUUAGGGGGUUUCCGCCCCUUAGUGCUGCAGCUAACGCAUUAA
RNAcentral lists this ribosomal RNA (820 nucleotides) under Bacillus zhangzhouensis. RNAcentral's name for it is "bacterial SSU rRNA". It matches the Rfam family "Bacterial small subunit ribosomal RNA", at positions 61 to 863 of the family's 1533-position model. The record is from RNAcentral. Lineage: Bacteria; Bacillati; Bacillota; Bacilli; Caryophanales; Bacillaceae.